RNAcentral lists this ribosomal RNA (329 nucleotides) under uncultured Tomentella. RNAcentral's name for it is "eukaryotic LSU rRNA". The stretch from base 274 to 329 matches the Rfam family "Eukaryotic large subunit ribosomal RNA", at positions 1 to 56 of the family's 3401-position model. The record is from RNAcentral. Lineage: Eukaryota; Fungi; Basidiomycota; Agaricomycetes; Thelephorales; Thelephoraceae.
GCGCCCUUUUGGCCAUUCCGAAGGGCAUGCCUGUUUGAGUAUCAUGAACACCUUCAACUCUUCAUGGUUUUCCAUGAUGAGCUUGGACUUUGGGGGGUUUUGCUGGCCUACGGCCGGCUCCUCUAAAAUGAAUCAGCUUACCAGUGUUUGGUGGGUACCAUGGGUGUGAUAACUAUCUACGCUUGUGGUUUUCCACCAGGUAACCUACAGCAGUUGGAGGUUCAUUGGAGCUCAUAAAUGUCUCUCCUCAGUGAAGACAGCCCUUUGAACGUUCGAUCUCAAAUCAGGUAGGACUACCCGCUGAACUUAAGCAUAUCAAUAAGCGGAGG